CAUACCUAUUCGAAGGGAUAGGGUCGGUUUGGCCGGAUUUCACACAGGUGUUGCAUGGCUGUCGUCAGCUCGUGUCGUGAGAUGUUGGGUUAAGUCCCGCAACGAGCGCAACCCUCAUCCUUAGUUACCAUCAGGUUAUGCUGGGGACUUUAAGGAAACUGCCAGUGAUAAACUGGGGGAAGGUGGGGAUGAUGUCAAGUCAUCAUGGCCCUUAUGGAGUGGGCUACACACGUGCUACAAUGGUGAUUACAAUGGGCUGCAAGGUCGCAAGGCUGAGCUAAUCCUAAAAAAUCAUCUCAGUUCGGAUUGUUCUCUGCAACUCGAGAGCAUGAAGUUGGAAUCGCUAGUAAUCGUGGAUCAGCAUGCCACGGUGAAUACGCUCUCGGGUCUUGUACACACUGCCCGUCACGCCAUGGGAAUUGGUUUCACUCGAAGCU
This 437-nucleotide ribosomal RNA is filed under the name Wolbachia endosymbiont of Aphis gossypii. Its description in RNAcentral is "bacterial SSU rRNA". It matches the Rfam family "Bacterial small subunit ribosomal RNA", at positions 992 to 1428 of the family's 1533-position model. Lineage: Bacteria; Pseudomonadati; Pseudomonadota; Alphaproteobacteria; Rickettsiales; Anaplasmataceae. The record is from RNAcentral.